CACACAGAAACACUAACAAAUUACCACAUCAUAUGACACAUAAAAAUACUUGUCAAAAACUAUAAAUUAAGGACAUGUACAAAUAAAACAUUUGUGAAAUUUUCAUUCAAUGACAUACCUUCUUUAUGUUUGUGUACAUGAAAAUGCUAUUCACAUGACUUGUUAUGCAUAUGUAAUGCAAAUGACUUGGUUUUAGAACAUGCAACAUAUUUAAUGUAGCAUGAAUAGACAUAAUUAUUUGAAGGGAAGAUACUACUUAUAAAAAAUCUAAUUUAAAAAAAAUUUAAAUAAUAAAAACAAUUAAUCAAUGUAUUCAGUCAAUUAUAUGUGAGUACAACAUCUUUCUUGUUGUAGCAGAAAAAGCUGCAGCUACAUAAAAAUUAAAAUUACAAUAAAAGUAAUCAAUCUAUGCAAGAAGUCAAAUAUAAUUGUAUAUAACUAUUAAAUAUUAAAUAUAAGUAAACUUGACUUAUUAAAUUGAUUGAUUGAAUUAAAAGAUAUAUUCGUAAAACGUUAAGAUGCUUGUUACAUAUAUCAGGAAAAACAAAAUUAAAAAAUUAUUAGAGAACCUCUUUGUAAAAUAUUUUUUGAAACUGAAAUCUUUUUUGAUUUUGUUCAAAUUCUUUGAAAAUAUUUAUUCAAUAACGUUUGUAGGCAUCUAAAUAAGCUUAUUUUGUAAAAAAGUCAAAUUUGAUUUUUUUACUGUAAGACUUUUUUAAAAAUAGCUACAGUAUUAUAAAAUAGUAUUGUAGUUUAAAAGCAAUCAAUUAAUGUCCUAAGUCAAGUAUGAGUACAAAAACACUUAUUGAGCCAGACGAAGCAGCCAGACUACACUUUUACUGUAAACUCACAAUCCAAGUUACAACACUUUAAAUACACAUAAAACACAUUGAAGCACUUUGUAUAUUACAGGAAUUUACACAUUUAUGAAAUAUAAUUUAUGAUUGCAUCUAAUUAUUUAAUAUAAAAUUUAAAACCCUAUAACUGAUACAACAGAUAUAACAGAUUAUAACAGAGUUAAUAAAGAUUUGAGAAUACAUUAUCAUAUGGUCAAAAAAUAUAAAGUGAUUUAUUAUAUUGUCAAGUGUAACAAUACGCACGAAUAAGUAACACACACAAAUGAGUAAGGAGCAAUAAAAUUAAACAUUAGUUAUAGAAGACUAAUUCAGGCCUUCUUGUAAGAGGCGUGCGAUAGGACGCUUUAUAUGACCAAGCAUAUAGUUCUUUGUUUAAACAACUUGACCACGGCUCUUUGCAAGUUUUGAUAAUUAGCGCAUUUAAAAAAUACGUUAAAAAAACAAAUCAAAUGUAAAUGCGAUUUUUAAUUGAUUCAUUAAUUACAAUUAAAUUGCCAUGAGUACUUUAAUAAAACCUAGUAAAAGCAAUCGUUGAAUAAAAAUUCAGAUUAGAAUUUAUAGCAAAAUGAGUACAGAAGCUAUCAAAAAAUAAUUACAAACCGUUUUAUCAUGGAAAUAUAAUUUCUAAUAAAGAAACUAUUGACUAAAAGAAAGAAAAAUUAUUUACUAAAAAAUUAUUUACUAUAAAAAAAUCUUGAAACAGUCUCAUUUGCCAACUAUUAUUUAUCCCAGAGUGUGACAUACCGUUUUUUUAAUGAACGUUGACUUGCGUAUCUUUAUUUAUUGACAAACCUUUAAUUUAAAGGAUCCCUAAGUGCUAUAAAGAUAUGAUCUCAUAUGAAAGAGCAUUAAAAAAAAAAUGUUUGAUGUAUAUUAUUUUUUCUAAAACGUAAUAAUGAACACACACUAACAAAUUUAAUUUUCAAAAAAACGCUUUUGUUCGAUUAAAAAAAAUGCGUCUUGUCCUGUCACGGAGAAAACAGUCCGCAGAGUAAACUGUCCGGCCGGACAGUUUACUCCGGAGUAGAAUGUCCUAGUUGGUCCUAUCCGUCCGGUUAGGACAAUUUACUCCGGAGCAAACUGUCCUACGUUGGAGUAAACUGUCCUACCAGAGUUGCUAAAAAGUCGAAACCUAAAACGCCGGAAAACCGAAAUGCCAAAAACAAACAUAAAAUUCUGUUUCCUUUUGGGUAAGGAAACACAAAAUUCUGUUUCCUUUUGGGUAGUUUUUUGCAACGGAAUUGCCAAAUGUUUUGAAAAUGUUUAUCACAACUUAGGUACAUAUAUUAUAAAAUAAUUUUGAACCGUUACUGCCUGCUCUUUGAUGAAAUGUAAAGAGAAGUUUUUGACAAGUUAUUGCGCAUUUUACUUGUUUAAAAGUAUAAGUCAUAAUUAAUUUACAGAAUAAACACAAACAGUUUGUUUAAAUAUCAAUAAUAAACGUUUAUUAUUGGUAUUUAAACAAAACUGUUUGUUUAAACCUUUCACUGGCAAUUGGUGUCUAAAUGUGAAAAGAAAAGCUUAAGUUGUUGUACUCAAUGGUUUUCUUUCCAGACACUGCUGAACUUAGAUUUAUGGAUGUUUUAGCCUAAGAAAAUAUAACUUCUAUGUAAAAUGGAAAAGUUUACUAAUAUGUUUUUCCUGUGAUAUUACAGUUAGAGUCUUUAGAGUUAAUUCAGCAUUUACAGCUACUAAGCGGUGGAAGUAUAUCCGCAGAUUGAGUAAACAGAUUAAAUCCUCAACAGUUAAAAUAACUGUGGUUGUGCAGGAAUACAGUUAUGUUGUUGCAUAUUGGAUUUAUAGAAGAUGAUAAUGUAUAGUUUCCACAAGGCUUAAAAGAUGGCAAAUAGUCUAUAAAUGAUCAGGAGAGUAAGGGCUUUUCGUACAUGGCUAGUUUUGUAUAACCCAAGAUCAUUUGCUGUGAAUAGCUCCUGCACUUGAUAUUGUUACUUAAUUUAAAAAACUGACGGCGUAUGUACUAAAAAAUACU
Molecule: RNA transcript, 2847 nt
Organism: Hydra vulgaris (swiftwater hydra)
Lineage: Eukaryota; Metazoa; Cnidaria; Hydrozoa; Anthoathecata; Hydridae
Source: RefSeq, a predicted model, not a curated record